RNAcentral lists this ribosomal RNA (443 nucleotides) under uncultured bacterium. RNAcentral's name for it is "partial 16S ribosomal RNA". It matches the Rfam family "Bacterial small subunit ribosomal RNA", at positions 338 to 795 of the family's 1533-position model. The record is from RNAcentral.
CCUACGGGUGGCAGCAGUGGGGAAUAUUGGGCAAUGGAGGCAACUCUGACCCAGCAACGCCGCGUGAAUGAUGACGGUCUUCGGAUUGUAAAGUUCUGUGAUUGGGGGUGAACACCGUGACGGUCCCCCACUAGCACGCCACGGCUAACUACGUGCCAGCAGCCGCGGUAAUACGGAGGUGGCAAGCGUUAUCCCGAAUGACUGGGCGUAAAGGGUGCGUAGGUGGUGUAGUAAGUUGGCGGUGUAAUUCCGGGGCUCAACCCCGGAGCUACCGCGAAAACUAUUAGACUCGAGUGCAGGAGAGGUAAGUGGAAUGCCUAGUGUAGCGGUGGAAUGCGUAGAUAUUAGGAGGAACACCAGGGGCGAAGGCGACUUACUGGACUGUAACUGACACUGAGGCACGAAAGCGUGGGGAGCAAACAGGAUUAGAUACCCGUGUAGUC